UACGAAGGUCCCAAGCGUUGUUCGGAUUUACUGGGCGUAAAGAGUACGUAGGCGGAGGGGUAAGUCAGAUGUGAAAGCCCGGGGCUCAACUCCGGAACUGCAUCCGAUACUGCCUUUCUAGAGUAGUGGAGGGGAGUCUGGAAUUCACGGUGUAGCAGUGAAAUGCGUAGAUAUCGUGAGGAACACUAGUGGCGAAGGCGAGACUCUGGACACUUACUGACGCUGAGGUACGAAGGCCAGGGUAGCGAAAAGG
Molecule: unclassified non-coding RNA, 253 nt
Filed under: Verrucomicrobiaceae bacterium
Lineage: Bacteria; Pseudomonadati; Verrucomicrobiota; Verrucomicrobiia; Verrucomicrobiales; Verrucomicrobiaceae
Also listed under: 1 other name
Description: partial 16S ribosomal RNA
Rfam family: Bacterial small subunit ribosomal RNA
Source: RNAcentral